CCCCUAGAUGUUCUGGGCCGCACGCGCGCUACACUGAACAGUUCAACAAGUCUUAACCUUGGCCGAUAGGUCUGGGUAAUCUUUGAACGCUGUUCGUGAUUGGGAUAGACCUUUGCAAUUAUGGGUCUUCAACGAGGAAUUCCUAGUAAACGCAAGUCAUCAGCUUGCAUUGAUUACGUCCCUGCCCUUUGUACACACCGCCCGUCGCACCUACCGAUUGAAUGGUCCGGUGAAAUCUCGGGACGGCGGCUUGGUCGCUUGCGUCCGACUGCUGAAACUUGAUUAAACCAUAUCAUUUAGAGGAAGGAGAANUCGUANCA
This 320-nucleotide ribosomal RNA is filed under the name uncultured eukaryote. RNAcentral's name for it is "partial 18S ribosomal RNA". It matches the Rfam family "Eukaryotic small subunit ribosomal RNA", at positions 1470 to 1796 of the family's 1831-position model. The record is from RNAcentral.